Molecule: long non-coding RNA, 735 nt
Organism: Lepisosteus oculatus (spotted gar)
Lineage: Eukaryota; Metazoa; Chordata; Actinopteri; Semionotiformes; Lepisosteidae
Source: RefSeq, a predicted model, not a curated record
CACCCUUACUUUUUCUUGACACUGAUUUCAUAUUCAUAUUAUAUUAUGAAAUAGUGUUAAACAAUGAGACAAAAAAUAACUGCAACGGAUUGCAACACAUUUAUUUCGGCACCGAUAUGGUUAAGAUACCGGUCAUCGCAGUACGUUGUGAGACAAAUGCAAUAUCAAUAAUUGCUCUCCUCCCAGCCGCCGAAAUUGGCAGCGACUAGACUUCACUUUCUGGCCUAGAGCCUUUUAAGACCGUUACCAAAAGAAAACGGGCGGUCCUUAAUUUCACAUUUCUCAAGAAUCAGACUUCUCCCGAGAGCGACCGCUUAAACUGAACUGCAUAAAGACUCCGAAAACAAAACCAUAUAAGAGUAAGACACAGCAUCACACAAACUAAAACUGCCAGUUAAACACGGGGCAGACAAUCACCAGAAAAUGGGAAAAUGGGACCCCACCCGCCCCAAAAACAAUCACCCUUAUUUCUCUCUCGUGUAGAAAGGACAAGAAGCUCUGGUGCCCAUGCCAUUUUCCUGUUGUAUUGGACAACAUCUCAUUAAGGAUGAUAACACAACCACAAGGGGCUUGAGGAAAGAGUUGAAAUUCUGUGAAUCUUUGGUCCAUGUGCAACAGAAGUGAAGCGCAUUUGGAGGAGACCGUUGUGGGAAAACUUCCCCCGUAGCAAUGUAUCCUGACUAUCAUACUCUAUGAUAGUCAGGCUCUGUCUUGCAUUUAGAAACUUGGGUGUAU